RNAcentral lists this long non-coding RNA (204 nucleotides) under Elaeis guineensis (African oil palm). RNAcentral describes it as "long non-coding RNA (EGUI_LNC009804)". The record is from RNAcentral. Lineage: Eukaryota; Viridiplantae; Streptophyta; Magnoliopsida; Arecales; Arecaceae.
CAUGGUUUGCUUUUGAAUGGACUAAAAAAUUAGCAGCCUUGGACCUUUGGGCUAAUUGAUGGAAACUUGCUUGAACCUCCGCAUAAAUGAGGCUCAAGUGAGCAGGUAGUUGGUCCAAUAAAAAUCAAGUCAACUAGAACCCAACCUAGCUAGUGGGUUGGGUAAGGAAGCUAGGCAUCAUUAGAUCACCAUAGCGAGCGGACC